UACGGAGGAUCCAAGCGUUAUCCGGAAUCAUUGGGUUUAAAGGGUCCGUAGGCGGUCUAGUAAGUCAGUGGUGAAAGCCCAUCGCUCAACGGUGGAACGGCCAUUGAUACUGCUGGACUUGAAUUAUUGGGAAGCAACUAGAAUAUGUAGUGUAGCGGUGAAAUGCUUAGAGAUUACAUGGAAUACCAAUUGCGAAGGCAGGUUGCUACCAAUUGAUUGACGCUGAUGGACGAAGGCGUGGGUAGCGAACAGG
RNAcentral lists this ribosomal RNA (253 nucleotides) under uncultured bacterium. Its description in RNAcentral is "partial 16S ribosomal RNA". It matches the Rfam family "Bacterial small subunit ribosomal RNA", at positions 524 to 776 of the family's 1533-position model. The record is from RNAcentral.